This 298-nucleotide signal recognition particle RNA is filed under the name Cucumis sativus (cucumber). Its description in RNAcentral is "SRP RNA Plant_SRP". It matches the Rfam family "Plant signal recognition particle RNA". Lineage: Eukaryota; Viridiplantae; Streptophyta; Magnoliopsida; Cucurbitales; Cucurbitaceae. The record is from Rfam by way of RNAcentral.
GCCGAGCCAUUUAACAAUGGCUUGUAACCCAUGUGGGGGCUUUAAGGUGGUUGGAGGUUGGUUCAUUGUAUCUUGUCGGAACUCUUAAGAGGACUACUUGCUCGCCCAUUCCAAGAAGGGAGUUGGGCCUCGCAUUCUAGACGAAAGUCCAAAGUGCGAUGCCUUUAGAUUGGAGGAAACCGCGUGAGGUUGGCCUUACAGAGCAGUGUCACCUCCUGCUCUCGUCGGUGGACGGAUAACGUGCAAGUUCUUGAACAAAGUCUGUCCCAAGCCCGUGUCCUAUUUUACUUACACAUUC